AAUAGAAAACUAAUAUUAAGUACAAGUUCUCUUUACUUGAGGAGUAUAUGUGGAGAAAUAAAAGAAAAUAAGGAUCACUUUCCAAAGUUGACCCAAAAGAGCUAGGAAUAAUUUUUUCAAAAGACAUGCAAAAGUCAUUGUUCCAAAGUGGAUCACAUACCCUUUCCAAAACUAGCUCUAGUAAAGAGAAAAUUACUCUUAGAAUCAUCUCUGGAACUGAGUAGGUAGAAUUCACUUCACCU
Molecule: long non-coding RNA, 242 nt
Filed under: Pan troglodytes (chimpanzee)
Lineage: Eukaryota; Metazoa; Chordata; Mammalia; Primates; Hominidae
Description: long non-coding RNA NONPTRT012664
Source: RNAcentral